AACAACUAUUGGAAACGAUAGCUAAUACCAGAUAUUCCCUAAGGGGGAAAGAUUUAUCGCCUUUAGAUGAGCCCGCGUCGGAUUAGCUUGUUGGUAGGGUAAAGGCCUACCAAGGCAACGAUCCGUAGCUGGUCUGAGAGGAUGAUCAGCAAGAUUGGGACUGAGACACGGCCCAGACUCCUACGGGAGGCAGCAGUGGGGAAUAUUGCGCAAUGGGGGAAACCCUGACGCAGCGAUGCCGCGUGAGUGAAGAAGGCCUUAGGGUUGUAAAACUCUUUCACCGGUGAAGAUAAUGACGGUAGCCGGAGAAGAAGCCCCGG
Molecule: ribosomal RNA, 320 nt
Filed under: uncultured Alphaproteobacteria bacterium
Lineage: Bacteria; Pseudomonadati; Pseudomonadota; Alphaproteobacteria
Description: bacterial SSU rRNA
Rfam family: Bacterial small subunit ribosomal RNA
Source: RNAcentral